This 253-nucleotide ribosomal RNA is filed under the name uncultured bacterium. Its description in RNAcentral is "partial 16S ribosomal RNA". It matches the Rfam family "Bacterial small subunit ribosomal RNA", at positions 524 to 776 of the family's 1533-position model. The record is from RNAcentral.
UACGUAGGGGGCAAGCGUUAUCCGGAUUUACUGGGUGUAAAGGGAGCGUAGGCGGCUGUGUAAGCCAGAAGUGAAAGCCCGGGGCUCAACUCCGGGACUGCUUUUGGAACUACAUGGCUUGAUUGCAGGAGAGGCAAGUGGAAUUCCUAGUGUAGCGGUGAAAUGCGUAGAUAUUAGGAGGAACACCAGUGGCGAAGGCGGCUUGCUGGACUGUAAAUGACGCUGAGGCUCGAAAGCGUGGGGAGCAAACAGG